GUCCACGCCCUAAACGAUGUCAACUAGCCGUUGGAGGAAUUUAAUCCUUUAGUGGCGCAGCUAACGCGAUAAGUUGACCGCCUGGGGAGUACGGUCGCAAGAUUAAAACUCAAAGGAAUUGACGGGGGCCCGCACAAGCGGUGGAGCAUGUGGUUUAAUUCGAUGCAACGCGAAGAACCUUACCAGGCCUUGACAUCCCGGGAACUUUCCAGAGAUGGAUUGGUGCCUUCGGGAACCCGGAGACAGGUGCUGCAUGGCUGUCGU
RNAcentral lists this ribosomal RNA (264 nucleotides) under uncultured bacterium. RNAcentral's name for it is "partial 16S ribosomal RNA". It matches the Rfam family "Bacterial small subunit ribosomal RNA", at positions 793 to 1055 of the family's 1533-position model. The record is from RNAcentral.